AAUCCCCGCGCGAGGCUGGCGAUUUUUCUCCUGCCUCUCCUCUCUCGUGCCCUCUCCUCUUCCCCCUGCUUGGGCUACAGCCACCACUCCCUCCUUUGCCCGAUCUCCAUUCAUGGCCAUGGCCGGGCGGUACAGCGCCGGUCUUGGGCUCGAGCGCCGCGUGCAGGACGAGCUGGGCGCAGGCCUUGGGCGGGAGCAGGACAUAAGAUACAUGGAGGAGGUUGCCUGACCUACUAAUGACGAAGAAGAGCAAGGGGCGGGCCAGCACCACCACGGAGUUGUUGGGGGCUGUUGCGAGUAGGAGCACGCGAUUCCCUAGCCUACUUUGUCACCGAGGACGCAGGUCAGCAGCCCAGGAACCUGCCCUCCUCCUCCUCUUCUUCAAAGGAGACCAGCAUAUCGGUUUUAGUAUGCUCAUAAGUUGCUUGAUGAAAACUCUACCAAAUAUUAUUGUUGACAGGAAGUGGCAGCACGUGGUGGUGGUCCUCGGCAACGACGAGAGGGAGAGGGGAUGGAUGCUUCAAGAUUCGAUGCGGUUGUCAUGAGCAUCCAAUCCAUUUGGCUCCAUACUGCCAAUUUGGUCAUGUUUCUCGACUUCCCCCUUUUUAAUUUGGCUUGUAUGUUUGAUGUGUGACCUGAAGGUUUGUUAGUUUUGUUUCAUGGAUAAUUAUUUUUUUGGCAUGAAUUACUCCAGAGCAGGGUGUAUACAGUAUUCUUCAGAUUUUGGUUAUAUUAGGCUGGUCUUCUUCGAUGGUAUGGGCAAAGAGAUUAUUUGUAGGUCAUUGUUGUUAUUUUAGCCAGCAUUCUCGUGAAUAAGUCCUUACAGGGAGAUAGUAGCUCCUUUUUGUAGAUCUAAAUUGCAGCUCUUUAUUUGUAGGACACCUACACAUUUUAGAUUUAUUGUUUGUUGCUCUCUUUACAUGCAAUGUAUGAGAACCAAGAUGCAAAAUGCUACAUCGCAACCUGUGUACCAAGCUUGAAGAAAUUUAGAAAUUGAGGCAGCAUCAAAUCCAAGAGCUUUUACAUCAGAAUGUUGUUGUUGAGUUGCCAUGGUAUACCCUUUGCCUUUUCAUGAAUUUCAAUUCUUCUUGCAACUUCGACUUAAAUAAUAUUUAGAAAAUUCCAUACUGUCUAAAUAACAUGAUAUGCCCACAGUUUAAGUCUUGAAAAUUAUAGUAAUACUUAUGUCUUCAUGGUGGUUCAGCUAUGCAUUUAGUGUCUUUUCAUAACAGACCCAACACCUUAUAUGAUGCAUUUAGUAUCUUUGUUCAAUUGACUAUUUACUUGUUUGUGCUCUUUUCUGUGUUCGAUUUGAUGUAGUGAUGCAGUUGCUUACGUGAUGCAGAUAUUCAUGGGAUAGUCAAUGUACUUGCUGGUGUGUUUGAGUUGCUAAUUCUGCAAAGGAAGCUAAAUGACCACCGGAGGAUCUCAUGGCAUGACUGAAAAAAGAUGGGGAUCCUAAAUUGCCGGAGAUGACGUCUCAAGGAAUGAGCAUUGUUUUGGGUUAUCAGGCUGGUGUGUGGAUGGUGAGGAGAACGGUAGAGUUCAUGGACAUUGUUGCCCGAGCACAUCUCAAGGGACUGAAGUUUCUCUACCUCAAUGAUGUUGAGUGUGCAGAAGAUGUAAUUUUUUUUGCAUGAGGUAGUGAUUCAAACUUAAUUGGGUCAACUCCAUGUGUCUACAAAUUAUGUGCAGGUGUAUUUUAAAGGGGAAAAAGAGUGAAGCUGGCCCUGGUUCGUCAUGGAGGAUUUCCCUCCUCCGCCAUUUGAGUUCCCAAUUGGCCGCCGCCGUUUUGGUCAUCCUUCUGUCCAGAAGGCAGCCACACAUCUAGGUGUCUCUCUCUGCUACUGCUUGAAAAUGAUCUCUCUCUGCUACUGCUUGGAAACAGAGUCCUCCACUUAACUGGAGCUUGGGACUUUCUGGAGUAGCAAAGAGGAGGCAGGGGCAAGAGGAGAAGAGGAAAUCCACUGAUGCUUCUUCACACUACCCCUAUAAUGUAGACGAAUAGAAAAACUGGGUCUUGCGGAAAUGGGAUGAAGAUUUAUGUAUACUAGCUGAAACACCGUGCUUUGCUGCGGAAAAAUAAGCUAAUAGCUAAUUCAAAAUAAGGUGGAUAUGGUUUUUAUGCAACGGUGACCAUAGUUUUGUAAAUGGAUAAGAGUUCAUGCAAUAACAAAUAUAAUGGGGCAUACCAAUAUUUGACCAGGUGCGCUGCUCCAUCCAAAGUAGCAAAAUGCGUGUUAAAAUCCAUCAACUCUGCUACCUAUAAUUUGCUGAUGAGGAAUUUAUGUUGGGGAUAGUGCCCCGCUCACAUAUUAAAAAUAUAUUUAUUUAUUUGCUCAGAGCUCGAUUGUACAUUUACAUUUGUUAUAUUUGGUACUUUCCGAAGGAAAAUAGGAAAUGGCAACCUAUCCAUGUUAUCUGGAAUAAGUACUUUACUUAUACGACUUCCAUGUUUUUACAAUUUUACUUCAGCAUGAACCAUGAAGUCAUAUAUGAAGAAAUUACGGCUCAUCAGCAAAGUAAUGUAUCUGAAUAUUAUCAGUUUAUCGUGCUUUGGAUCAUUGCUGCUUUCGGCUAAUUGUAUCAUAUAGUUGAUGGUGGCGAUUGUAUGAUUAAAGGAUGCUAUCAAGAAGUAUUAUGCAUCGAUUGUAAGUUUUGUCUUGUUUUCCUGCACUUUCCCUGCUUAGUUGAAUUGAGUGAGUUCUGAAUACCAAAUGAUAAUUAAUUUGAUGUUUAUGCUUCCUUACUGGCUUCUAUGACAAUUGGUCAAGCCCAAAAAUGAGAGCACACAGUCUGCACGUUGAUGCAACUGUCGAAAUUCUUGAGCUGAGUUCAGGAAGUAUGGUGCUAUCAAGCCUGGCGAGUAGUACACUGUCAGGUUAGUUAAUAUUGUAUGAAUGUAGGGCUUGGUUUCCAUAAAUCAUAUGCUUGCUGACAUUUUUGUGAUGGUUGUGCAGCCUGAUGGGUUUAUUUGAUUUUCAUGCUAUCCUAUCUUCCUCUGAAUACGUUGCAUUUGCUUCAUCCGCUCACAUCUUCCAUUUGUAGUUCAUUUUUCUGCUUCCAAUCAAUGCACAUAGAUACUACUUUGUGUGGCUUUUGUGCUACAGAACUUGUGGUUCCCUGCACUGUAUAUCCUUAGUUCAGUUUCAUCUCUAUAUGCCAGUGGCCUUCUCUGUCAGUAGUGAGGCAAUAGGUUAAAGCUGCAUAGUAGUGCCUGCUUCUUCUUUACAUAAGUUGGUCACAUUGUUUCCACAUGUUUCAAGGAACACAGGUUUAACCAAAUUAAACCAUCAAAUGAGAGAAUACCAUGCAUAGUUGUAGGGUAAUUUGUUUAGCUCAAAAUAAUUAAAGGUUUUUAAGAUGCUACUACGAGAACUAGAAUAGUGGGGCAUAUAGGGCUUUCUAUCAUGGUUAGGGAAAUUUCAUAUAUCCAUAAAUUUAAAAGCUUUUACUUAAUUUAUAAUGAAUAAAGUGGAAGAGGUGUCAUUCAUAUGUAUUAGUUAAAGAAAGGUAAAUACUGAAAUCAGUAACUUUUUUCUGCGCCUAAAUGAAGAGCAUGCCAUUUUCUUCCUAGCAAAUCAGGUUGUUAUUUAAAUUCAUAUACUUGUUUAUUCUAUUUCCACUUCAUAUGUAGAUAUGAACUGACAAAAAAUUCGAGUGGUUUGUUUCCUUAUCUAUUGUGUAGGACACUCUGUGUAUUUUUACUUAUUAACAUCUCCUAGAUGCUAUGCUCUUAUUUUACUUUGUGUUAUUCUGAAAGUUCACCCAACAGGAUUUAUUGAUAGAACUCUUCAGAAUACGCGGUGUAUUGUUGAUUGCUAGUGCUAUGUUUUUUUCAUACUCACAGCUAAUUGGUCUUUUAGAUGUUCAUCGUGUCGUGUCUUUGCUUAUUAGCGGUUACCUGUUUCUGUAUAACUCCAAUGUUACAUCAUGUUAUUGCUAUGUGAUUUUCGAACCUGACUGAAAUGCACUGGUAGCGCAGUUUUGUUGUGCAUGUUCCUUAAACUGGACACUAGCCCAGCUUAGCCUAAUCAUCAAAAAGCGCUACCGCUGAUUCCUGGUACAUCAGGAAAAAGGUCCUCUUUGAAAUUUCAUAGCCCGAUCACCACUGUCUAAUUUGUAUAUGAUAUUGUUUUUCAUUGAGUCACUACUUAAUUUGAGCAGGACAUUGUUACUACCAUAUCAAGAUACGCUCUGUUUAUACAUUGGGUCACUACUUCAUUUGAGCAGGAAAAUUUGUAGCUUGUCCAAUUCUGCAUCGGCCUUCAUAUUAAAUGGUAUGCGAAAGCUGUCAGCAUGAGUAGCUCCGUCAGAGUGUUCCCUUGGAAGAAGCAGUCCUAAUGCAAGAGAAAGAAAGUAACUGAGGGAACCUAUCUUGGAGGAUAUAAAUCAUCGAACCAAACGUCCUUCCACAAAGAACUGUGUCACCUGGAUUUUUUGUGCAUGUUGUAACUCCACUGUAAAUAUUAAACAUUAGCUACUUAAUUGACUCAAUUAGUGGAGUUUUUGUUAGACGUUGUAAUAUCCAAAUAUGUUCAGGUUCAUUCAGAAAAAAUGUUCAGGCUUGUUAA
Long non-coding RNA from Lolium perenne, 4574 nucleotides. RefSeq lists it as uncharacterized. Lineage: Eukaryota; Viridiplantae; Streptophyta; Magnoliopsida; Poales; Poaceae. The record is from RefSeq and is a predicted model, not a curated record.